This is a non-coding RNA of Dipodomys ordii (Ord's kangaroo rat), 65 nucleotides long. The record is from Rfam. NCBI's taxonomy places the organism in Eukaryota, Metazoa, Chordata, Mammalia, Rodentia, Heteromyidae.
GGUGGCUCAGUGGUAGAGCGCUUGCCUAGCAUACAGGAAACCCUGGGUUCAAUUCCCCAGUACCA